Molecule: ribosomal RNA, 163 nt
Filed under: Symphyotrichum subulatum
Lineage: Eukaryota; Viridiplantae; Streptophyta; Magnoliopsida; Asterales; Asteraceae
Also listed under: 9 other names
Description: 5.8S ribosomal RNA
Rfam family: 5.8S ribosomal RNA
About the family: 5.8S ribosomal RNA (5.8S rRNA) is a component of the large subunit of the eukaryotic ribosome. It is transcribed by RNA polymerase I as part of the 45S precursor that also contains 18S and 28S rRNA. Functionally, it is thought that 5.8S rRNA may be involved in ribosome translocation.
Source: RNAcentral
CAAACGACUCUCGGCAACGGAUAUCUCGGCUCACGCAUCGAUGAAGAACGUAGCAAAAUGCGAUACUUGGUGUGAAUUGCAGAAUCCCGUGAACCAUCGAGUUUUUGAACGCAAGUUGCGCCCGAAGCCAUUCGGUUGAGGGCACGUCUGCCUGGGCGUCACG